Molecule: transfer RNA, 85 nt
Organism: Felis catus (domestic cat)
Lineage: Eukaryota; Metazoa; Chordata; Mammalia; Carnivora; Felidae
Rfam family: tRNA
About the family: Transfer RNA (tRNA) molecules are approximately 80 nucleotides in length. Their secondary structure includes four short double-helical elements and three loops (D, anti-codon, and T loops). Further hydrogen bonds mediate the characteristic L-shaped molecular structure. tRNAs have two regions of fundamental functional importance: the anti-codon, which is responsible for specific mRNA codon recognition, and the 3' end, to which the tRNAs corresponding amino acid is attached (by aminoacyl-tRNA synthetases). tRNAs cope with the degeneracy of the genetic code in two manners: having more than one tRNA (with a specific anti-codon) for a particular amino acid; and 'wobble' base-pairing, i.e. permitting non-standard base-pairing at the 3rd anti-codon position.
Source: Rfam
GCCUGGAUGGCUCAGUCGGUCGAGCGUCUGACUUCAGCUCAGGUCACGAUCUCGCAGUCCGUGAGUUCCAGCCCCAUGUCGGGCU